UUGAUUACGUCCCUGCCCUUUGUACACACCGCCCGUCGCUGCCCGGGACUGAGCCAUUUCGAGAAACUUGGGGAUCGCUGGUUGGGGACCUUCGGGUCUUCCUUCCGGUGAAAACCAAUUUAAUCGCAGCGGCUUGAACCGGGCAAAAGUCGUAACAAGGUGGCUGUAGGCGAACCUGCUGCCGGAUCAUUAACGACAAACACAUACCAUCGAGCAUGGCUAUGUUCUGAGGGCUGACUCCAGGCCGAGCGCAUUUGCGGCCUGUCCAGCAUAAAGUCUAUGGAGGCCAGUCUUCGGCCAUCGGGUGUAGCAGCUUCGGCUCUUCAACCCUGAUACGGAACCAUAGGCGAAAACGGCUUCGUUGGCUCCUAAGCAUCGCUGAGCAGUUGUGCUUCGUCCGUGGCUGCAAUGAGGUGAUGCGGUAGACCCUAUGCAUAUGGGUUAGGAUUAAUGAGCACCAGCCUGGGUGCUGCCAAUGACAAACCCCCCAUUUUCACAUUUUUUAUGAAUGAAAAAUUCUAGUCUUAUCGGUGGAUCACUCGGCUCGUAGGUCGAUGAAGAACGCAGCCAAAUGCGAUAACUAGUGUGAACUGCAGAUAUUUUGAACACUAAGAUUUCGAAUGCACAUUGCGCCAUGGGAAUUUAUCCCUUGGCACAUCUGGUUCAGGGUCGUUUUUAUCUAAAGCGAAUGCUUAUACAGUGAAACCGCGAACAGUUGCACGAUCACUUUGCGAUGCCAGCCACAGGCUUGUGUGGUUGUCUAGCAUUGUGUUCGUGCAUAUCGGAGAAGUCCCUUCCUGCCUAUUGACUCCAGUGGCAGGCCGUGGCGUGGCAUUGUAGCUUUAAAGCCGCACACGUGCCUUGUCCUGGGUCUAUUAGGCGCAAUCGCUAUUUCGACCUGAACUCAGGUGUGAGCACCUGCUGAACUUAAGCAUAUCAGUAAGCAGAGGAAAAGAAACUAACAAGGAUUCCCUUAGUAACGGCGAGUGAAA
This 992-nucleotide ribosomal RNA is filed under the name Pratylenchoides ritteri. RNAcentral's name for it is "eukaryotic LSU rRNA". The stretch from base 1 to 192 matches the Rfam family "Eukaryotic small subunit ribosomal RNA", at positions 1641 to 1831 of the family's 1831-position model. The record is from RNAcentral. Lineage: Eukaryota; Metazoa; Nematoda; Chromadorea; Rhabditida; Merliniidae.